Molecule: ribosomal RNA, 506 nt
Filed under: uncultured bacterium
Lineage: Bacteria
Description: partial 16S ribosomal RNA
Rfam family: Bacterial small subunit ribosomal RNA
Source: RNAcentral
AGUGAACGCUGGCGGUAGGCCUAACACAUGCAAGUCGAACGGCAGCACAGGAGAGCUUGCUCUCUGGGUGGCGAGUGGCGGACGGGUGAGGAAUACAUCGGAAUCUACUUUUUCGUGGGGGAUAACGUAGGGAGACUUACGCUAAUACCGCAUACGACCUACGGGUGAAAGCAGGGGACCUUCGGGCCUUGCGCGAUUGAAUGAGCCGAUGUCGGAUUAGCUAGUUGGCGGGGUAAAGGCCCACCAAGGCGACGAUCCGUAGCUGGUCUGAGGGGAUGAGCAGCCACACUGGAACUGAGCCACGGUCCAGACUCCUACGGGAGGAAGCAGUGGGGAAUAUUGGACAAUGGGCGCAAGCCUGAUCCAGCCAUACCGCGUGGGUGAAGAAGGCCUUCGGGUUGUAAAGCCCUUUUGUUGGGAAAGAAAUCCAGCUGGCUAAUACCCGGUUGGGAUGACGGUACCCAAAGAAUAAGCACCGGCUAACUUCGUGCCAGCCGCCGCGGUAA